UUUCCCCUGCGGUGCCCGUUAAGGCCUUAGAGUCUUUGAACCAAUAUACUUGAUCUGGUUGCCGACUUAAGCAGCACCGGUGUGCGCGUCCGACAGGAAGCGCCUAAUGGGCUCGGGAGGCGACCACCUUGAACCGUCGGUUCAAGAUGCAGGUCUGACGGCACAGGCGGGGGUCCC
This 177-nucleotide non-coding RNA is filed under the name Betaproteobacteria bacterium RIFCSPLOWO2_12_FULL_62_58. RNAcentral's name for it is "6S RNA". It matches the Rfam family "6S / SsrS RNA". From Rfam's summary of the family: E. coli 6S RNA was the first non coding RNA to be sequenced, but its function was unknown until recently. It consists of 184 nucleotides that fold into an extended hairpin structure with a large single-stranded internal bulge. Lineage: Bacteria; Pseudomonadati; Pseudomonadota; Betaproteobacteria. The record is from RNAcentral.